GACGAACGCUGGCGGCGUGCUUAACACAUGCCAGUCGAACGGAAAGGCCCUGCUUUUGUGGGGUGCUCGAGUGGCGAACGGGUGCGUAACACGUGAGUAACCUGCCCUUGACUUUGGGAUAACUUCAGGAAACUGGGGCUACUACCGGAUAGGAGCUCCUGCUGCAUGGUGGGGGUUGGAAAGUUUCGGCGGUUGGGGAUGGACUCGCGGCUUAUCAGCUUGUUGGUGGGGUAGUGGCUUACCAAGGCUUUGACGGGUAGCCGGCCUGAGAGGGUGACCGGCCACAUUGGGACUGAGAUACGGCCCAGACUCCUACGGGAGGCAGCAGUGGGGAAUAUUGCACAAUGGGCGGAAGCCUGAUGCAGCAACGCCGCGUGCGGGAUGACGGCCUUCGGGUUGUAAACCGCUUUCGCCUGUGACGAAGCGUGAGUGACGGUAAUGGGUAAAGAAGCACCGGCUAACUACGUG
RNAcentral lists this ribosomal RNA (468 nucleotides) under uncultured bacterium. Its description in RNAcentral is "partial 16S ribosomal RNA". It matches the Rfam family "Bacterial small subunit ribosomal RNA", at positions 28 to 507 of the family's 1533-position model. The record is from RNAcentral.